UACGAAGGGGGCUAGCGUUGCUCGGAAUCACUAGGCGUAAAGGGUGCGUAGGCGGGGCUUUAAGUCAGGGGUGAAAUCCUGGAGCUCAACUCCAGAACUGCCUUUGAUACUGAAGAUCUUGAGUUCGGGAGAGGUGAGUGGAACUGCGAGUGUAGAGGUGAAAUUCGUAGAUAUUCGCAAGAACACCAGUGGCGAAGGCGGCUCACUGGCCCGAUACUGACGCUGAGGCACGAAAGCGUGGGGAGCAAACAGG
This 253-nucleotide ribosomal RNA is filed under the name uncultured bacterium. RNAcentral's name for it is "partial 16S ribosomal RNA". It matches the Rfam family "Bacterial small subunit ribosomal RNA", at positions 524 to 776 of the family's 1533-position model. The record is from RNAcentral.